CCUGAGGACGAUUGCCUGCCCAAAAUCAGAGAUUCACGCUCUUCGUGUGGCGACAAUGGUUUGCUGGUUCGGUGCUUGGCGUUUUCUUAUCGUGAGGCGGGAGGUUUGAACGUUUGUUAUACACGGCACAUCAAGCCACCAGUCACUUGUACUUUUGCUUCUCCGCAAAUACGUCUCUUGUUUCAAAUCUAUGGAAAACGACAUGCGUUGUUCUUUGCUCGAGGUCGACCUUUCCACGUUUCCACAUUUCAAGGUUCGUGCUGCGUUGUCGGAAUCAAGAACUUCAAAGCUUCUCGUGUUGUUGCAGUCACUGUGUCACUCAGCAGAUUUAGGAAGAAUGCAUCUGUAGUAUGAGAACAUAAGUUGUCCUUUCGGACGUAACAGCAUUAGAGUUAUGGUGAACCACCCUACUUUCGUCUUCGCAGGGGGAGCACUUCUCUGUCGCUGCAUCGCGAGUUGCCGCCGGCGGUGUUGAACAACUUCGGAGCUGGCCCUCCAGUACUUCUUUCCGUUUCUCCAGAUAUUUUUCACAGCUCUCCUUGCGCUUCAAGCGAUAAUGGCUCUGCUCAUAUCUCUGCCUUAAGGAUGCCAUUUCGUGUUUGAGUUCGUAAAGUUCUUCACGCAUCUUCAACCUGGCGAGGCUUUCGCGUCGAAUCUUGAGAGCUAGCAUGCAACAUGCACUAUCCGAUUUCACUUUCGUUUCAUUUUGCUGCUGCUGCGCCAAACGAUGGUGCUCUUCCCUGUGAUAUUCUAGCAUUUCGUGAUGUACUUGUUGUCGUCGUUGGACGUUGUCCAUAUCAUUCUGUUGUCUCGCGACUUGUCGACGAAUAUCCGUGAUUGCUUGCCUUUGCUCUUCCAGUUCCUCUCCAAGUCCGCAAAGGAUCCUCUCGGCUUGUUCAUGCUCCCACAGCGCUCCUGGAAGAAUUAACAAAGUUCCAUUGGAUGUGGUGCGGCAUUACCUGCAUGCUCUCUUGUUACCUGUGGACAGAUGUUUCUCUGUUCAUAUAGUUACGCUUACCUUUUAGUGAAUGUUUCUCGGCAACCGGCAGUUCCUCGUUUGCUUCUCUAUUUGUACAGCAUCCCUUGAUAAUAUGCUGUUCCGGCUUUUCUACGGGCAGGCUCUGUGCUGUGCACAAACUCCGAUCGUCAAGUGCUGAAAGCAUUCUUCUUCUGAGUCCCGUGAGCCGACUUCGUUGCCGUGGAGGGGGGAGAAGGCGCCGCCCCAAUGCAGGGAAACGCACGUUUCGUUCAGGGGCACGCAAAUAAAUGGGCCGUUGUAGUGCAAGCAGUCGCUUUCCAGUUGUGGGAUUGCGAAGUCGAGGAGAUAAAUGUAUGCGUGUCGGUGUCGGAGGCACUUUCGUUUGUUUGGAAUAUGGCAUAUGCCGUUCUAAUACAGAGAGGCGCAGCGCCUCGAACGCUCUCAGCUGAAAAAGGAACGGAUAGAACCGCAGCGCUGAACACCCUCGUCAGUGGCCCGGGGCAUUCCUGAUUUACAUGAUGGUGCGGUGUCACCUCACCCAAACAAAAUUUCUCUUCCUUAGGCUAAACGGCAAAGCGCAUUCGAUCGCCACUGCAUCCAUCAUUGUUGAAACAGUAUGUUGCUUUAUUUCUGUUGUCAUCCUUCCCUUAUCUAUACCAACCCUCCCCCCGAUUCAGGCUCUGUUACUCCUCGAUAUUUUCCAUGUAUUACCGAAUUAUCUACCAUUUUAACACCGUACUGAAACAACAAGCGAAAGCCGUAUGCCAAGCAGGCGCCCCCACAGCUGACGUGUACUGUCAUUCCUUCACACACAAAAAUAUUUGCACCUCAACCGUAACAGCUGUGAACAAUGGCACUGGAUUGGUAUUUACGUCGAAGCCGGGACUUACGAUUUCGGCCUUCCAUUG
RNAcentral lists this long non-coding RNA (1887 nucleotides) under Toxoplasma gondii VEG. The record is from RNAcentral. Lineage: Eukaryota; Apicomplexa; Conoidasida; Eucoccidiorida; Sarcocystidae.